RNAcentral lists this ribosomal RNA (253 nucleotides) under uncultured bacterium. RNAcentral's name for it is "partial 16S ribosomal RNA". It matches the Rfam family "Bacterial small subunit ribosomal RNA", at positions 524 to 776 of the family's 1533-position model. The record is from RNAcentral.
UACGUAGGGUGCAAGCGUUGUCCGGAAUUAUUGGGCGUAAAGAGCUCGUAGGCGGUUUGUCGCGUCGAAUGUGAAAACCCGGGGCUCAACCCCGGGCCUGCAUUCGAUACGGGCAGACUAGAGUUCGGUAGGGGAGUCUGGAAUUCCUGGUGUAGCGGUGAAAUGCGCAGAUAUCUGGAGGAACACCGGUGGCGAAGGCGACAUCCUGGACCGGUAUUGACGCUGAGGCGCGAAAGCCAGGGGAGCAAACGGG